RNAcentral lists this ribosomal RNA (468 nucleotides) under uncultured bacterium. RNAcentral's name for it is "partial 16S ribosomal RNA". It matches the Rfam family "Bacterial small subunit ribosomal RNA", at positions 28 to 507 of the family's 1533-position model. The record is from RNAcentral.
GACGAACGCUGGCGGCGUGCUUAACACAUGCAAGUCGAACGGAAAGGCCCUGCUUUUGUGGGGUGCUCGCGUGGCGAACGGGUGAGUAACACGUGAGUAACCUGCCCUUGACUUUGGGAUAACUUCAGGAAACUGGGGCUAAUACCGGAUAGGAGCUCCUGCUGCAUGGUGGUGGUUGGAAAGUUUCGGCGGGUGGGGAUGGACUCGCGGCUUAUCAGCUUGUUGGUGGGGUAGUGGCUUACCAAGGCUUUGACGGGUAGCCGGCCUGAGAGGGUGGCCGGCCACAAGGGGACUGAGAUACGGCCCAGACGGCUACGGGAGGCAGCAGUGGAGAAUAUGGCACAAUGGGCGGAAGCCUGAUGCAGCAACGCCGCGUGCGGGAUGCCGGUCUUGGGGUUGUGAAGCGCUGUCGCCUGUGACGAAGCGUGAGUGACGGUAAUGGGUAAAGAAGCACCGGCUAACUACGUG